Molecule: ribosomal RNA, 1242 nt
Filed under: metagenome
Description: bacterial LSU rRNA
Rfam family: Bacterial large subunit ribosomal RNA
Source: RNAcentral
UGAGUACGAGACGCUAAGGCGUUGAAGCAGUCUAUGUCAGACUUCCAAGAAAAGCUCGCAAUGUCAUAAACAACAAAUGCCUGUACCAUAACCGACACAGGUGGGUAGGUAGAGUAUACUAAGGGGCGCGAGAUAACUCUCUCUAAGGAACUCGGCAAAAUGACUCCGUAACUUCGGGAGAAGGAGUGCCUUCUUGAAGAAGGUUGCAAUAACAAGAUCCAAGCAACUGUUUACCAAAAACACAGGUCUCCGCUAAGUCGUAAGACGAUGUAUGGGGGCUGACGCCUGCCCAGUGCCAGAAGGUUAAAGAAGUUGGUUAGCCUAGCGAAGCUGAUGACUGAAGCCCUGGUGAACGGCGGCCGUAACUAUAACGGUCCUAAGGUAGCGAAAUUCCUUGUCGGGUAAGUUCCGACCCGCACGAAAGGCGUAAUGAUUUGGAUACUGUCUCGGAGAGGGGCUCGGUGAAAUAGACUUGUCUGUGAAGAUGCGGACUACCUGCACCUGGACAGAAAGACCCUAUGAAGCUUUACUGUAACUUGAGAUUGAAAUUGGACUUUAUUUGCGCAGUAUAGGUGGGAGACUUUGAGAAUAUUCUUGCGGGAAUAUUGGAGUCAUCAGUGAGAUACCACUCUUGUAAUGUUAGAUUUCUAACUUUGGAUCAUUAUCUGGUCAAAGGACAGUUUCAGGCGGGCAGUUUGACUGGGGCGGUCGCCUCCCAAACGGUAACGGAGGCGCACAAAGGUUUCCCCUGAACGUGUAGAAAUCGUAUCUAGAGUGUAAAGGCAUAAGGAAGCUUGACUGUGAGACCUACAAGUCGAGCAGGGACGAAAGUCGGUCUUAGUGAUCUGACGGUGCUGAGUGGAAAGGCCGUCACUCAACGGAUAAAAGUUACUCUAGGAUAACAGGCUGAUCUCCCCCAAGAGUUCACAUCGACGGGGAGGUUUGGCACCUCGAUGUCGGCUCAUCGCAUCCUGGGGCGGUAGUACGUCCCAAGGGUUGGGCUGUUCGCCCAUGAAAGCGGUACGCGAGCUGGGUUCAGAACGUCGUGAGACAGUUCGGUCCAUAUCCGGUGUAGGCGUUAGAAUAUUGAGAGGAGCCUUCUUUAGUACGAGAGGACCGAGAAGGACAUACCUCUGGUGUACCAGUUAUCGUGCCAACGGUAAACGCUGGGUAGCUAUGUAUGGAGUGGAUAACCGCUGAAAGCAUCUAAGUGGGAAGCCCACCUCAAGAUAAGUAUUCUCA